AGUGAACGCUGGCGGUAGGCCUAACACAUGCAAGUCGAACGAGUGGCGGACGGGUGAGUAAUGUCUGGGAAACUGCCCGAUGGAGGGGGAUAACUACUGGAAACGGUAGCUAAUACCGCAUACCAUCGGAUGUGCCCAGAUGGGAUUAGCUUGUAGGUGAGGUAACGGCUCACCUAGGCGACGAUCCCUAGCUGGUCUGAGAGGAUGACCAGCCACACGGGAACAGGGACACGGUCCAGACUCCUACGGGAGGAAGAAGUGGGGAAGAUUGCACAAUGGGCGCAAGUCUGAUGCAGCCAUGCCGCGUGUAUUAAGAAGGCCUUCGGGUUGUAAAGUACUUUCAGCGGGGAGGCGUGACCCGCAGAAGAAGCACCGGCUAACUUAGUGCCAGCAGCCGCGGUAAUUC
Molecule: ribosomal RNA, 406 nt
Filed under: uncultured bacterium
Lineage: Bacteria
Description: partial 16S ribosomal RNA
Rfam family: Bacterial small subunit ribosomal RNA
Source: RNAcentral